This 824-nucleotide ribosomal RNA is filed under the name uncultured archaeon. Its description in RNAcentral is "bacterial SSU rRNA". It matches the Rfam family "Archaeal small subunit ribosomal RNA", at positions 21 to 855 of the family's 1478-position model. The record is from RNAcentral.
GGUCACUGCUAUUGGGAUCCGACUAAGACAUGCAAGUCAGAGCUUUUGCUCGGCGAACGGCUCAGCAACACGUAGUCAACCUGCCCUUAGGUAAGGGAUAAUCUCGGGAAACUGAGCAUAAUACCUUAUAGGAAAAGAGACCUGGAACGCCUUUUUUCUCAAAGAUUUAUCGCCUAAGGAUGGGACUGCGCAUGAUUAGGCAGUUGGUAGUGUAAAGGACCACCAAACCUAUAAUCAUUACGGGCCAUGAGAGUGGUUGCCCGGAGAGGGGGACUGAGACAAGGCCCCCAGCCCUACGGGGUGCAGCAGUUACGAAACCCUUACAAUGCACGAAAGUGUGAUAAGGGGAUCCCAAGUGUCAUAGCUAUGCUAUGACUGUGGCGAAGUGUAAAGAGCUUCGCAAGAAAGAGGUGGGUAAUACCGGUGCCAGCAGCCGCGGUAAUCCCGGAGCCUCGAGUGGUGACCAUAUUUAUUGGGCCUAAAGCGCCCGUAGCCUGGUUAAUAAGUUUUCGGUGAAAUUGUUUAGCUUAACUAAACGAAUUGCCUUAAAUACUGUUAACCUAGGGAUAGGGAGAGAUCAGGAGUAUGCUAAGGGGAGGGGUAAAAUCCUUUAAUCCUUAGUAGACUAUCAAUGGCGAAGGCACCUGAUUGGAACUAGUCCGACGGUGAGGGACGAAAGUUAGGGUAGCAAACGGGAUUAGAUACCCCGGUAGUCCUAACCGUAAACGCUGCCCGUUGGGUAUUGCAAAUACCUCGUGUUUUUGCAGUGCCGUAGUGAAGACGAUAAACGGGCCGCCUGGGGAGUACGGUCGCAAGGCUAAAAC